AGAAUCAACGCUGGCGGCGUGCAUAACACAUGCAAGUCGAACGAGAAAGUGGAGCAAUCCAUGAGUACAGUGGCGACCGGGUGAGUAACACGUGACCAAUCUACCUUCGAGUGGGGGAUAACUCCGGGAAACCGGGGCUAAUACCGCAUAACAUCUUUGGAAUGCAAAUUCCGUUGAUCAAAGGAGCAAUUCGCUUGAAGAGGAGGUCGCGGCUGAUUAGUAGUUGGCGGGGUAAUGGCCCACCAAGACGAAGAUCGGUA
This 260-nucleotide ribosomal RNA is filed under the name uncultured bacterium. RNAcentral's name for it is "partial small subunit ribosomal RNA". It matches the Rfam family "Bacterial small subunit ribosomal RNA", at positions 26 to 285 of the family's 1533-position model. The record is from RNAcentral.